GUUUGUCUCUGAGACGGAAUACACCCAAUCUCAUCUGAUCUGCAAAGCUAAGCAGGGUUGGGCCUGGUUAGUAUUUGGAUGGGAGACUACCUGGGAAUACCAGGUGCUGUAAGCU
This is a ribosomal RNA of Amphiprion percula (orange clownfish), 115 nucleotides long. The record is from Ensembl. Lineage: Eukaryota; Metazoa; Chordata; Actinopteri; Pomacentridae.